Molecule: ribosomal RNA, 429 nt
Filed under: uncultured bacterium
Lineage: Bacteria
Description: bacterial SSU rRNA
Rfam family: Bacterial small subunit ribosomal RNA
Source: RNAcentral
UGGGGAAUUUUGGACAAUGGGCGCAAGCCUGAUCCAGCAAUGCCGCGUGUGUGAAGAAGGCCUUCGGGUUGUAAAGCACUUUUGGCGGGAACGAAACGGCUGGCCCUAAUACGGCUGGCUAAUGACGGUACCCGCAGAAUAAGCACCGGCUAACUACGUGCCAGCAGCCGCGGUAAUACGUAGGGUGCAAGCGUUAAUCGGAAUUACUGGGCGUAAAGCGUGCGCAGGCGGUUGUGUAAGACAGAUGUGAAAUGCCCGGGCUUAACCUGGGAACUGCAUUUGUGACUGCACGGCUAGAAUCUGGCAGAGGGGGGUAGAAUUCCACGUGUAGCAGUGAAAUGCGUAGAUAUGUGGAGGAACACCGAUGGCGAAGGCAGCCCCCUGGGCCAAGAUUGACGCUCAUGCACGAAAGCGUGGGGAGCAAACAGG